RNAcentral lists this ribosomal RNA (253 nucleotides) under uncultured bacterium. RNAcentral describes it as "partial 16S ribosomal RNA". It matches the Rfam family "Bacterial small subunit ribosomal RNA", at positions 524 to 776 of the family's 1533-position model. The record is from RNAcentral.
UACAUGGGGUGCAAACGUUAAUCGGAAUUACUGGGCGUAAAGCGUGCGCAGGCGGUUUGUUAAGUCCGUUGUGAAAGCCCCGAGCUCAACUUGGGAAUUGCAGUGGAUACUGGCAGGCUGGAGUACGGUAGAGGAAGGUGGAAUUCCCGGUGUAGCAGUGAAAUGCGUAGAUAUCGGGAGGAACACCAGUGGCGAAGGCGGCCUUCUGGACCAGUACUGACGCUCAUGCACGAAAGCGUGGGGAGCAAACAGG